Molecule: microRNA precursor, 62 nt
Filed under: Astyanax mexicanus (Mexican tetra)
Lineage: Eukaryota; Metazoa; Chordata; Actinopteri; Characiformes; Acestrorhamphidae
Description: mir-728 microRNA precursor family
Rfam family: mir-728 microRNA precursor family
Source: Rfam by way of RNAcentral
AAAUGUAGUAGACUUAAAGUAUACAUGACACUUGUGAAGUAUACUAAGUACACUACGUUUUC